This 265-nucleotide ribosomal RNA is filed under the name uncultured bacterium. RNAcentral's name for it is "partial 16S ribosomal RNA". It matches the Rfam family "Bacterial small subunit ribosomal RNA", at positions 334 to 616 of the family's 1533-position model. The record is from RNAcentral.
AUUGCCUACGGGACGCAGCAGUGGGGAAUAUUGCACAAUGGGGGAAACCCUGAUGCAGCGACGCCGGGUGAGAGAUGAAGUAUUUCGGUAUGUAAAGCUCUAUCAGCAGGGAAGAAAAUGACGGUACCUGACUAAGAAGCCCCGGCUAACUACGUGCCAGCAGCCGCGGUAAUACGCAGGGGGCAAGCGUUAUCCGGAUUUACUGGGUGUAAAGGGAGCGGAGACGGUCCUGCAAGCCAGAUGUGAAAGCGCGGGGCUCAACCAC